RNAcentral lists this ribosomal RNA (468 nucleotides) under uncultured bacterium. RNAcentral's name for it is "partial 16S ribosomal RNA". It matches the Rfam family "Bacterial small subunit ribosomal RNA", at positions 28 to 507 of the family's 1533-position model. The record is from RNAcentral.
GACGAACGCUGGCGGCGUGCUUAACACAUGCAAGUCGAACGGAAAGGCCCUGCUUUUGUGGGGUGCUCGAGUGGCGAACGGGUGAGUAACACGUGAGUAACCUGCCCUUGACUUUGUGAUAACUUCAGGAAACUGGGGCUCAUACCGGAUAGGAGCUCCUGCUGCAUGGUGGGGGUUGGAAAGUUUCGGCGGUUGGGGCUGGACUCGCGGCUUAUCAGCUUGUUGGUGGGGUAGUGGCUUACCAAGGCUUUGACGGGUAGCCGGCCUGAGAGGGUGACCGGCCACAUUGGGACUGAGAUACGGCCCAGAAUCCUACGGGAGGCAGCAGUGGGGAAUAUUGCACAAUGGGCGGAAGCCUGAUGCAGCAACGCCGCGUGCGGGAUGACGGCCUUCGGGUUGUAAACCGCUUUCGCCUGUGACGAAGCGUGAGUGACGGUAAUGGGUAAAGAAGCACCGGCUAACUACGUG